CCUACGGGACGCAGCAGUGAGGAAUCUUGGUCAAUGGACGCAAGUCUGAACCAGCCAUGCCGCGUGCAGGAAGACGGCUCUAUGAGUUGUAAACUGCUUUUGUACGAGGGUAAACGCAGAUACGCGUACCUGUCUGAAAGUAUCCUACGAAUAAGGAUCGGCUAACUCCGUGCCAGCAGCCGCGGUAAUACGGAGGAUUCAAGCGUUAUCCGGAUUUAUUGGGUUUAAGGGGGGCGUAGGCGGUCGGAUAAGUUAGGGGUGAAAUCCCGAGGCUCAACUUCGGAAUUGCCUCUGAUACUGUUAGGCUAGAGAGUAGUUGCGGUAGGCGGAAUGUAUGGUGUAGCGGUGAAAUGCUUAGAGAUCAUACAGAACACCGAUUGCGAAGGCAGCUUACCAAGCUACUUCUGACGUUGAGGCACGAAAGCGUGGGGAGCAAACAGGAUUAGAUACCCUUGUAGUC
RNAcentral lists this ribosomal RNA (460 nucleotides) under uncultured bacterium. Its description in RNAcentral is "partial 16S ribosomal RNA". It matches the Rfam family "Bacterial small subunit ribosomal RNA", at positions 338 to 795 of the family's 1533-position model. The record is from RNAcentral.